This 253-nucleotide ribosomal RNA is filed under the name uncultured bacterium. RNAcentral's name for it is "partial 16S ribosomal RNA". It matches the Rfam family "Bacterial small subunit ribosomal RNA", at positions 524 to 776 of the family's 1533-position model. The record is from RNAcentral.
UACGGAGGGUGCAAGCGUUAUCCGGAUUCACUGGGUUUAAAGGGUGCGUAGGCGGGCAGGUAAGUCAGUGGUGAAAUCCUUGAGCUUAACUCGAGAACUGCCAUUGAUACUAUCUGUCUUGAAUAUUGUGGAGGUAAGCGGAAUAUGUCAUGUAGCGGUGAAAUGCUUAGAUAUGACAUAGAACACCUAUUGCGAAGGCAGCUUACUACGCAUAUAUUGACGCUGAGGCACGAAAGUGUGGGGAUCAAACAGG